UAUAAACUUUGUUAUUUUCUUUUCGUUCAUUGAUCAAUCCAAUUACAACAAAGACUAUCAAGAGUAUUCACAAUUGUUAAUCAUUUAUUAUUAGAUCGAUGAAUAUCUUUUUAUGUUCAUGAUGUAAUUUGUUUGUUCAAGUUCGUACUUCGUAAUCUUUAUAAAUGUAUUUAAAUAAAAUUAAUUUAAAAAAGUGCGUGUAAAGGAGGGAGGGGGAGAGAGAGAAAGAGAGAGAAAAAUAAAAAGAGAGGACGUGGGUGUGUAACUUAUUAGGUUACUACGUUGUAUCCGCUUCGAGUACGCAAUAAAUAAGUGGCACUUGGACUUAUGCCAAGCUCGACGAAGUUCUAGAAAUCCAAAUCAAAAAUGGGUUGCGCCUCACAGUGUGCCAAGUACUUUUUGUGCUUUUUCAACUUUGUAUUUUUCGUCGCUGGCGGAGCAGCAUUGACCGUUGGUAUCUGGUUGUUUGCCGACAGGAGCUCCUUCACGAACCUCAUCGCAAAGCUCGAUCAGUCCGAUAUUCUGACAAAAACGGAUACCGAUGUUAUAAGAAUGAUGUCCUAUAUCCUAAUCAUUGCCGGUGCCCUUACGUUCAUUGUUAGCUUUUUAGGAUAUUGCGGUGCAAUGUUCGAAUCUAGAUGUCUCCUCUGUGUCUAUGGCGUCCUUCUUUUAUUGGUUUUGGUCCUGGAAUGUGUGGUGGUUGGCCUUGCGUUUGGACUAAAAGGAGACGCGGAAAAGGGUACACAAAGUUUCUUGAAGUCGACAAUCAAGUAUUACGCAGCAAGCGUGGAUCAGACCGAAACCGUGACAGUUGCGUGGGAUGGUAUUAUGAGCCAGCUUCAUUGUUGCGGUGUUGAAAGUUAUUUGGAUUUUCACGAAAGUACAAAUUGGACGACAACCAACAAAGUGGUACCGGAAUCUUGUUGCAUAAAACAAAAUGGUGAACUGCAGGAUCGCUCGUGUCCUCUCAAUCCUACGUCCACGAACUCUUAUUAUCAGAAGGGUUGUUACAAAGCGAUACUAACGACGGUAGAAGAAAAUGCCGCAAUAGUUAUAGGAGUAGCAGCUGGUUUAGUCCUGAUCGAAGUCCUGGUUAUUAUAAUGGCCUUAUACCUGGCAUGUGUCUACUGGCGUCCGCAACAUGCUUGCGUAGAUGUGUCAUCGAGACAAGCCUGGUGAGAGAAGUGGUGAGAUGGGGAUGUGAUGGUUUGGUGGUGAAAUUUGGUUUCAAUGUUAACUUGUUGGUGCUGCUGCUGACGAGGCAUUAAGGGCAUGGAACUGUUGAGUAGUGCCUCCUAGCAAACGCACGUUGAGCCAUUAGAAGUCCUGUGCCUUGCUUGCUUGAAACGUUAGAUACUAGCCAGAUUUAGGCUAGUCAAAACGUCGGCCGACAGAAAUGAAUCCUGAUUGUAGAAUGACCACAGAUAUUCGUCAAAUCAGACUUGACAGUGAUGUAGGAGAUUUAUUACAAUAUGUUAUUUUUUAUAUGCAUCUAAAGCAAAAAUAAAUUCUAGCUUUAUUUCGUGAUAGAAAAACAAAAAAGAAAAGUCAAAUAUCGAAGGCGUAUGAUUUGUUGAGUUUAAUGUAAUUCACUUUAGAGACCUAUAUUGUAAAGUACAAAUAUUACUUCUUAAGAUAGUACACAUCUCUAAAAAUCGAUGUGUAUAAUAUUUCUUUUUCCUUUUAAGUUUUUUCUCUAUUUCUUUAUCAUUAAGAAACUCCUAUAUCACUGUAGAUUAUUAUCAUUUUAUGAUAUGUUGUUAAUUGUUUAAUAAUUAUUAGUAUACAAGCAUUUAAAAUCAUUUAUCAAAAAAUAUGGUAUAAUAACGUGUAAUCGCAGCAGUAUACUUCAGAUUUUGUACAUUCUAUAUUUGUGCUAUUUGAUAUAUCAUCAAUAUGCACAUGUAUUUUAACUGUAAUAUUUUUUCUUUAUCGGAUGAUAUUGUUUCUUAAGCAAACAAACAAAAAAGUAAAAAUUAAUUUAUGUAUAUGAGGAUUUUAAGUGUAUGUAUCUAAAAUGUGUAGCCUUUAUUAUGUUGCUUUGCCUACUUUGAGAUUAUUUCAAAUGUUUAUGUAUUAAAGGAAAAUGUUUAAGUGUACAGUAGUUCAGUUCAUUGCAUUUAGGCAGGUCUUAUCAUUUCAUCUAUACUAAUUUUUCACUUCUAACAGUUCGAACUCGCGUUUCCAACAAAUAUACAAAAAUAUAUAGUAAUAUUAAAAAAUUAUGGAAAACAUUAUAAUCUAUCUAUGUAGUGCUUAUGUCUCUAUAGCUCCUGCCAAACUUUCAUUAAAAAAAAAAAGAAUAAUAAAUGUACAUUUUAUCUGAAAGGUAAGCACUUGGGAAAAUAAAAAAAUAGAAAGAAAAUUAUAGACACGCUAUGUAGAAAACAACAAUUAAUAGAUAUUACUAUCAUUCACUUUCUGAAUCGAAGGAAAGCAAUUAACAUACUUUGAUGUAUUUAAAAAGGUGUACGUUUCAUUCUCAGAAAUGUCUAUAAAUUAAUAUUAUUAUAGGGCAAUGAUCUGUAUUAAAUUAGUGAAUAGUAGUACCUGGUAGAAAAA
RNAcentral lists this unclassified non-coding RNA (2562 nucleotides) under Polistes fuscatus (common paper wasp). RNAcentral's name for it is "tetraspanin-1, transcript variant X2". Lineage: Eukaryota; Metazoa; Arthropoda; Insecta; Hymenoptera; Vespidae. The record is from RNAcentral.